Non-coding RNA from Pelobates cultripes (western spadefoot toad), 355 nucleotides. NCBI's taxonomy places the organism in Eukaryota, Metazoa, Chordata, Amphibia, Anura, Pelobatidae. The record is from the annotation of a GenBank genome assembly.
GCUGAGCAAAAUGAAGAGAAGCAAAGUACUCCAGUUGAGUAUAACAAUGUGAUGCGCUGUUUAGUAGCAGAGGCUACCCAAAAAUGUCGACCAGCUGUUGAACAGUUUGGCAGAGAAAAGCAUGGCAGAGAAGUAGUGGCAAAACAAAGUCAAAACAAGAAAGGCAAAGUAGCCGCUUCUGAUCUAAGCCAAGAGAGAGCGACAGUUACAGAACCAAGCUGUGAUGAUAAGAUGGGCACGUCGGCAGCUAAGCCAGACCAAGGCGAACGUCACAAAGUAGGUGACAUUGGCAUAGCAGAAUUAAAUAUUUCAGAGACACCUGGUAUAGCUACAACGACUUUGAAUGAUUGUUCGG